ACUAUAACGGUCCUAAGGUAGCGAAAUUCCUUGUCGGGUAAGUUCCGACCUGCACGAAUGGCGUAAUGAUGGCCAGGCUGUCUCCACCCGAGACUCAGUGAAAUUGAACUCGCUGUGAAGAUGCAGUGUACCCGCGGCAAGACGGAAAGACCCCGUGAACCUUUACUAUAGCUUGACACUGAACAUUGAGCCUUGAUGUGUAGGAUAGGUGGGAGGCUUUGAAGCGUGGACGCCAGUCUGCGUGGAGCCAACCUUGAAAUACCACCCUUUAAUGUUUGAUGUUCUAACGUUGGCCCCUGACCGGGGUUGCGGACAGUGUCUGGUGGGUAGUUUGACUGGGGCGGUCUCCUCCCAAAGCGUAACGGAGGAGCACGAAGGUUAGCUAAUCCUGGUCGGACAUCAGGAGGUUAGUGCAAUGGCAUAAGCUAGCUUGACUGCGAGCGUGACGGCGCGAGCAGGUGCGAAAGCAGGUCAUAGUGAUCCGGUGGUUCUGAAUGGAAGGGCCAUCGCUCAACGGAUAAAAGGUACUCCGGGGAUAACAGGCUGAUACCGCCCAAGAGUUCAUAUCGACGGCGGUGUUUGGCACCUCGAUGUCGGCUCAUCACAUCCUGGGGCUGAAGUAGGUCCCAAGGGUAUGGCUGUUCGCCAUUUAAAGUGGUACGCGAGCUGGGUUUAGAACGUCGUGAGACAGUUCGGUCCCUAUCUGCCGUGGGCGCUGGAGAAUUGAGGGGGGCUGCUCCUAGUACGAGAGGACCGGAGUGGACGCAUCACUGGUGUUCGGGUUGUCAUGCCAAUGGCACUGCCCGGUAGCUAAAUGCGGAAGAGAUAAGUGCUGAAAGCAUCUAAGCACGAAACUUGCCCCGAGAUGAGUUCUCCCUGAGACUUUAAGUCUCCUGAAGGAACGUUGAAGACGACGACGUUGAUAGGCCGGGUGUGUAAGCGCAGCGAUGCGUUGAGCUAACCGGUACUAAUGAACCGUGAGGCUUAACCUU
Molecule: ribosomal RNA, 992 nt
Filed under: Staphylococcus epidermidis
Lineage: Bacteria; Bacillati; Bacillota; Bacilli; Caryophanales; Staphylococcaceae
Description: bacterial LSU rRNA
Rfam family: Bacterial large subunit ribosomal RNA
Source: RNAcentral